GUGCUCCCUUCAGCAGCAUGUAUAAUAAAACUGGAACAGUACAAACAGAUGAUCCUGGGCUCUGCCUAAGGAUAAUAUACAAGUUCAUGAAGCAUUCUAUAAUUAA
This is a small nuclear RNA of Cricetulus griseus (Chinese hamster), 106 nucleotides long. The record is from Ensembl. Lineage: Eukaryota; Metazoa; Chordata; Mammalia; Rodentia; Cricetidae.